UUAAGCGACUAAGCGUACACGGUGGAUGCCCUGGCAGUCAGAGGCGAUGAAGGACGUGCUAAUCUGCGAAAAGCGUCGGUAAGGUGAUAUGAACCGUUAUAACCGGCGAUGUCCGAAUGGGGAAACCCAGUGUGAUUCGUCACACUAUCGUUAACUGAAUACAUAGGUUAACGAGGCGAACCGGGGGAACUGAAACAUCUAAGUACCCCGAGGAAAAGAAAUCAACCGAGAUUCCCCCAGUAGCGGCGAGCGAACGGGGAGCAGCCCAGAGUCUGAAUCAGCUUGUGUGUUAGUGGAACGGUCUGGAAAGUCCGACGGUACAGGGUGAUAGUCCCGUACACCAAAAUGCACAGGCUGUGAACUCGAAGAGUAGGGCGGGACACGUGGUAUCCUGUCUGAAUAUGGGGACCAUCCUCCAAGGCUAAAUACUCCUGACUGACCGAUAGUGAACCAGUACCGUGAGGGAAAGGCGAAAAGAACCCCGGCGAGGGAGUGAAAAGAACCUGAAACCGUGUACGUACAAGCAGUGGGAGCACCUUCGGGUGUGACUGCGUACCUUUGUAUAAUGGGUCAGCGACUUAUAUUCUGUAGCAAGGUUAACCGUAUAGGGGAGCCGCAGGGAAACCGAGUCUUAACUGGGCGUUAAGUUGCAGGGUAUAGACCCGAAACCCGGUGAUCUAGCCAUGGGCAGGUUGAAGGUUGGGUAACACUAACUGGAGGACCGAACCGACUAAUGUUGAAAAAUUAGCGGAUGACUUGUGGCUGGGGGUGAAAGGCCAAUCAAACCGGGAGAUAGCUGGUUCUCCCCGAAAGCUAUUUAGGUAGCGCCUCGUGAACUCAUCUUCGGGGGUAGAGCACUGUUUCGGCUAGGGGGUCAUCCCGACUUACCAACCCGAUGCAAACUACGAAUACCGAAGAAUGUUAUCACGGGAGACACACGGCGGGUGCUAACGUCCGUCGUGAAGAGGGAAACAACCCAGACCGCCAGCUAAGGUCCCAAAGUCAUGGUUAAGUGGGAAACGAUGUGGGAAGGCACAGACAGCCAGGAUGUUGGCUUAGAAGCAGCCAUCAUUUAAAGAAAGCGUAAUAGCUCACUGGUCGAGUCGGCCUGCGCGGAAGAUGUAACGGGCUAAACCAUGCACCGAAGCUGCGGCAGCGACACUAUGUGUUGUUGGGUAGGGGAGCGUUCUGUAAGCCUGCGAAGGUGUGCUGUGAGGCAUGCUGGAGGUAUCAGAAGUGCGAAUGCUGACAUAAGUAACGAUAAAGCGGGUGAAAAGCCCGCUCGCCGGAAGACCAAGGGUUCCUGUCCAACGUUAAUCGGGGCAGGGUGAGUCGACCCUAAGGCGAGGCCGAAAGGCGUAGUCGAUGGGAAACAGGUUAAUAUUCCUGUACUUGGUGUUACUGCGAAGGGGGGACGGAGAAGGCUAUGUUAGCCGGGCGACGGUUGUCCCGGUUUAAGCAUGUAGGCUGGUUAUCCAGGCAAAUCCGGAUAAUCAAGGCUGAGGUGUGAUGACGAGGCACUACGGUGCUGAAGUAACAAAUGCCCUGCUUCCAGGAAAAGCCUCUAAGCAUCAGGUAACAUCAAAUCGUACCCCAAACCGACACAGGUGGUCAGGUAGAGAAUACCAAGGCGCUUGAGAGAACUCGGGUGAAGGAACUAGGCAAAAUGGUGCCGUAACUUCGGGAGAAGGCACGCUGGUGUGUAGGUGAAGUCCCUGCGGAUGGAGCUGAGACCAGUCGAAGAUACCAGCUGGCUGCAACUGUUUAUUAAAAACACAGCACUGUGCAAACACGAAAGUGGACGUAUACGGUGUGACGCCUGCCCGGUGCCGGAAGGUUAAUUGAUGGGGUUAUCCGUAAGGAGAAGCUCUUGAUCGAAGCCCCGGUAAACGGCGGCCGUAACUAUAACGGUCCUAAGGUAGCGAAAUUCCUUGUCGGGUAAGUUCCGACCUGCACGAAUGGCGUAAUGAUGGCCAGGCUGUCUCCACCCGAGACUCAGUGAAAUUGAACUCGCUGUGAAGAUGCAGUGUACCCGCGGCAAGACGGAAAGACCCCGUGAACCUUUACUAUAGCUUGACACUGAACAUUGAGCCUUGAUGUGUAGGAUAGGUGGGAGGCUUUGAAGCGUGGACGCCAGUCUGCGUGGAGCCAACCUUGAAAUACCACCCUUUAAUGUUUGAUGUUCUAACGUUGGCCCCUGACCGGGGUUGCGGACAGUGUCUGGUGGGUAGUUUGACUGGGGCGGUCUCCUCCCAAAGCGUAACGGAGGAGCACGAAGGUUAGCUAAUCCUGGUCGGACAUCAGGAGGUUAGUGCAAUGGCAUAAGCUAGCUUGACUGCGAGCGUGACGGCGCGAGCAGGUGCGAAAGCAGGUCAUAGUGAUCCGGUGGUUCUGAAUGGAAGGGCCAUCGCUCAACGGAUAAAAGGUACUCCGGGGAUAACAGGCUGAUACCGCCCAAGAGUUCAUAUCGACGGCGGUGUUUGGCACCUCGAUGUCGGCUCAUCACAUCCUGGGGCUGAAGUAGGUCCCAAGGGUAUGGCUGUUCGCCAUUUAAAGUGGUACGCGAGCUGGGUUUAGAACGUCGUGAGACAGUUCGGUCCCUAUCUGCCGUGGGCGCUGGAGAAUUGAGGGGGGCUGCUCCUAGUACGAGAGGACCGGAGUGGACGCAUCACUGGUGUUCGGGUUGUCAUGCCAAUGGCACUGCCCGGUAGCUAAAUGCGGAAGAGAUAAGUGCUGAAAGCAUCUAAGCACGAAACUUGCCCCGAGAUGAGUUCUCCCUGAGACUAUAAGUCUCCUGAAGGAACGUUAAAGACGAUGACGUUGAUAGGCCGGGUGUGUAAGCGCAGCGAUGCGUUGAGCUAACCGGUACUAAUGAACCGUGAGGCUUAACCU
This 2892-nucleotide ribosomal RNA is filed under the name Klebsiella pneumoniae. RNAcentral's name for it is "bacterial LSU rRNA". It matches the Rfam family "Bacterial large subunit ribosomal RNA". Lineage: Bacteria; Pseudomonadati; Pseudomonadota; Gammaproteobacteria; Enterobacterales; Enterobacteriaceae. The record is from RNAcentral.